GAUGAACGCUGGCGGCGUGCCUAAUACAUGCAAGUCGAGCGAACGGACGAGAAGCUUGCUUCUCUGAUGUUAGCGGCGGACGGGUGAGUAACACGUGGAUAACCUACCUAUAAGACUGGGAUAACUUCGGGAAACCGGAGCUAAUACCGGAUAAUAUUUUGAACCGCAUGGUUCAAAAGUGAAAGACGGUCUUGCUGUCACUUAUAGAUGGAUCCGCGCUGCAUUAGCUAGUUGGUAAGGUAACGGCUUACCAAGGCAACGAUGCAUAGCCGACCUGAGAGGGUGAUCGGCCACACUGGAACUGAGACACGGCCCAGACUCCUACGGGAGGCAGCAGUAGGGAAUCUUCCGCAAUGGGCGAAAGCCUGACGGAGCAACGCCGCGUGAGUGAUGAAGGUCUUCGGAUCGUAAAACUCUGUUAUUAGGGAAGAACAUAUGUGUAAGUAACUGUGCACAUCUUGACGGUACCUAAUCAGAAAGCCACGGCUAACUACGUGCCAGCAGCCGCGGUAAUACGUAGGUGGCAAGCGUUAUCCGGAAUUAUUGGGCGUAAAGCGCGCGUAGGCGGUUUUUUAAGUCUGAUGUGAAAGCCCACGGCUCAACCGUGGAGGGUCAUUGGAAACUGGAAAACUUGAGUGCAGAAGAGGAAAGUGGAAUUCCAUGUGUAGCGGUGAAAUGCGCAGAGAUAUGGAGGAACACCAGUGGCGAAGGCGACUUUCUGGUCUGUAACUGACGCUGAUGUGCGAAAGCGUGGGGAUCAAACAGGAUUAGAUACCCUGGUAGUCCACGCCGUAAACGAUGAGUGCUAAGUGUUAGGGGGUUUCCGCCCCUUAGUGCUGCAGCUAACGCAUUAAGCACUCCGCCUGGGGAGUACGACCGCAAGGUUGAAACUCAAAGGAAUUGACGGGGACCCGCACAAGCGGUGGAGCAUGUGGUUUAAUUCGAAGCAACGCGAAGAACCUUACCAAAUCUUGACAUCCUUUGACAACUCUAGAGAUAGAGCCUUCCCCUUCGGGGGGGCAAAGUGACAGGUGGUGCAUGGUUGUCGUCAGCUCGUGUCGUGAGAUGUUGGGUUAAGUCCCGCAACGAGCGCAACCCUUAAGCUUAGUUGCCAUCAUUAAGUUGGGCACUCUAAGUUGACUGCCGGUGACAAACCGGAGGAAGGUGGGGAUGACGUCAAAUCAUCAUGCCCCUUAUGAUUUGGGCUACACACGUGCUACAAUGGACAAUACAAAGGGCAGCGAAACCGCGAGGUCAAGCAAAUCCCAUAAAGUUGUUCUCAGUUCGGAUUGUAGUCUGCAACUCGACUACAUGAAGCUGGAAUCGCUAGUAAUCGUAGAUCAGCAUGCUACGGUGAAUACGUUCCCGGGUCU
This 1373-nucleotide ribosomal RNA is filed under the name uncultured bacterium. RNAcentral's name for it is "bacterial SSU rRNA". It matches the Rfam family "Bacterial small subunit ribosomal RNA", at positions 28 to 1381 of the family's 1533-position model. The record is from RNAcentral.